RNAcentral lists this ribosomal RNA (370 nucleotides) under Nahual caballero. Its description in RNAcentral is "partial small subunit ribosomal RNA". Lineage: Eukaryota; Metazoa; Arthropoda; Arachnida; Schizomida; Hubbardiidae. The record is from RNAcentral.
AAAUAAUAAAUAAAUUGAUUAAAUUUUAUAUGAAAUUCAAUUAUAAAGUUUAGAAGUAUUGGCGGUGUUUUAUUAAAUUCUGAGAAUCUUGCAUUAUUAAAAUGAUAUUACACAAAUUAUCUUAUCUUAGUUUAAAAAGGUUUAUAUAUUGCUGUUUAAUUUAUGAGUUAAUUAAGGUUAAAUAAAUUAAAUGAUAAAUGAAAUAAAUAAAGAUUUCAAGUCAAAAUGUAGUUUUAUUAAGGUUUUUGUGAGUUGCUUUUUUUUAGAAAAAUAAGAGUGAAUAAGUAGAAUGAAAUAUUUAUUAAAGAUAGGAUUAGGUUGUAAGAGGAGUAUAAAUAAGAAGUUUUUCUGAUAAAUUUUAUAGGCAUGU